AUGGCUUUAAUAAUCUACACUUGGAAGUUACCCAGAAUCACUUUCUCCUUAUUGCAUGCAACUCUAAUGUUGGCUCCCUACCCUGCAAGGAACAGAGAGUCUGAGCUCAUCCAGCAACCACUCUCCCACUCUUCCAAGAGAGAUGAUCAUGAGCAGACUAUUAUAAAGCACAAAGGGAGCACAUUCUACUCUCUUGGGUACCUGCUCCACCCACCACUUUUUAUUCAUUCACUUGACAAAUAUAUGCUGCUUAUGCGGCAGACACUGGGAACACAGGUGUGCACACAGCUGUUUCUCCUUUCUUGGGUGAACUUGGUGAGGAAUUUAAGCAUUUCACCAGAGUGUGUUGAGAAACCCAGAAGCACUUCAGGGGGAUGAGGGAAAUAACAUGGGGACUUAAACUAGCCAGUGUGGAUCAGGAAAGGCUAUAUUCUGAGCUUUUUCUUCACCUCACCCUCCGUAUUCUAAACCUGUCUGUAUUACCCAUCCCUCCACAACCAGCCCCCAAAUAUCCUGAGAUUCCCAACUCAAGCCAUUACUCCCACCUGAGCAGGGCACUUGCUCAGUUGAGAAUGCUGGGCUGGGCGCAGUGGCUCACACCUGUAAUCCCAGCACUUUGGGAGGCCAAGGCGGGUGGAUCACCUGAAGUCGGGAGCUCGAGAGCAGCUUGACCAACAUGGAGAAACCCUGUCUCUACCAAAAACACAAAAUCAGCCAGGCAUGGUGGCGCAUGGCUGUAAUCCCAGCUACUCCGGAGGCUGAGGAAGGAGAGUUGCUUGAGCUUGGGAGGUGGAGGUUGCAGUGAGCCAAGAUCUUGCCAUUGCACUCCAGCCUGGGCAACAAGAGCGAAAUUCCAUCUCAAAAAAAAAAAAAGAAGGAAAAAAAUAAAAGAAUGCUUUGCCUGGAAGGCAAUUGUGGAUAUUUCGGACUGACUUUCUUCAUUAUUUACUGUGCUUCCAGCUGAAAAGCACAACAGCACAACGUUACAGCAGCUUCCCCCGCCGACUACGUACUCUGAUAGUUUCGUAAAUAGCUACUGCCAUCUAGUGGACAAAGAUGACUUUACAUCAGUACAUUGCCCCACGGAAAUGAAAAUUCUCAGCGUUUCCUAUUUCUUACAACCACUUCAUCCAAUCUUAACGGAAUCCAAAAGACCACUCACUUUUCCUUUGAAAGCCUAAGGCCUAGAAUAUUUUAAGUAUUCAACAUUGUUUGGACAAAGGACUUUUCACGGGCAUUGUCAUUAAUUUUAUAUGUAACAUAAAUAUUGUAGUAAUAUUGUUGGAGAAUUUUAUUGCAAUGGCUUUAGACAAUUAUUCCCUUAUAAGUUAUUUAUUGCUAUUUAUUGCUAUAGCUUUAGACAAUUAUUCCCUUAGAAGUCUAUUAAGGGCUGGGCGUGGUGGCUUAUGCUUGUAAUCCCAGCACUUUGGGAGGUGGGCAGAUUGCCUGAACUCAGGAUACUGAGCCUGGGUACACGGUGAAACCCCAUCUCUACUAAAAUACAAAACAUUAGCUGGGCGUGGCAGCGUGCGCCUGUAGUCCCAGCUACUCGGGAGACUGAGGCAGAAUUGCUUGAGCCCGGGAGGUGGAGGCUGCAGCAAGCUGCACCACUGCACUUCAGCCUGGGCGAUAGAGCAAGACUCCAUCUCCAAAAAAAAAAAAAAAAAAAGAAAAGAAAAGAAAAACAUCUAAUAAGGUCAAAUAGAAACUUGAAAAGCUAUAGUAAUAAAAACACAUUUUAGAAUAUAAUCAUAUUGCCAAGUUCAGCAGAAACUCCUAAACUGGACCUGGAGAUUAAAUUUUUUGGCCUGUCUUCCCAAUCCAGUAGCGCCCUGUGCAGCAGGGACAGAACCAACCAUCUAAGUCAUGGAGUUUCCUUCUAUCAACUAAAACCUCUUUACAGUAACUUGUAAAAGCAAAUUUUGCCACCGUGUAGAUUUGUGCAUGCACAGCCAGAGCAUCCACCAUCCCUCCAUUGUAAGGUUAUUUGGAGAAUCAAGUAAGGGGAGAAGCAAAUGCCAUUAACUCAAAAUUGAAUGGAAAGUGGUAGGCAUUGUUGUCCCUAUGGUUACCUUCUCUUCCUCUAAAGCUUACCUAAUAAACAGCUAAUUCGACAUUUACAUGGUUUAAACAUCUUUACUGGCUUUUUAAACUACUAGCCCACAGCAGAACCCUAAUUACAAACAAUAGGCCAGGCGCAGUGGCUCACACUUGUAAUCCCAGCAGUUUGGGAGGUCAAGGCGGUAAGAUCGUUUGAGGUCAAAAAUUCAAGACUAGCCUGGACAACAUGGCAAAACCCCCGCUCUACAGAAAAUAUAAAAAUUAGCUGGGCAUGGUGUCCCAGCUACUCGGAAGGUGGGAGAAUGCAAAGGUGGGAGGCAAACAUUGCAGUGAGAUCGCACUACCGCACUCCAGCCUGGGUAAGGGAGGCUAUCUCAAAAAAAAAAAAAAUCCAAUUCCCCAGAUUAGACUACGUGAUGACAUUAAGGGUACUCCACCUGAGCCUCAGUGUCAUCUAUAAACACAUUCUGGUUUAUAAACAGAUGAAAAAAUACAAAUAACUGAGAAAACCUAGCAAAUAUUCCCACCUUCCCAAGCCCCAAUUCCUUACUAUACAUUAUACAUGUCCAACAAGGUGUUAUCUGUAUAGGGGAAACAUUGCCAUAUUUACUCUAACUUCAUGUUUCACUAAUGUUUCAGCUAACAUUAACCUGAAGUUCAAAAAUUUGCAGUAACAGCUACCACUGAAAACCUUCCACAUUAAGAUUCCAUGUGAAACAAGAUAAAAGUGUUAUUUACCCUUUAGUCUCGUUUUGAGUUAAGGCAUCAAAAAGUUUGUAACCAUCUCAGAUACAUGGUACGCCCAUGUGCAUUAACAUACGCUUCCAGAACCAGCUACUUGGAACUAAGGCUGGGUGACCACUUGGGGCCAGUUCCAGUCCAGCCUGUACAAGUGAGCACACACCCCUAAGGAAAACUAAAGCCCAGGUAAAAUUCUCACCCAAAGAAACAUGCCAAAAAUUUGUACUACUGCCAGGUGCGGUGACCCACGCCUGUAAUCCCAGCGUUUUGGAAGGCUGAGGCAGGCGCAUCACCUGAGGUAGGGAAAUCAGCCUGAACAACGUGGAGAAAGCCCGUCUCUACUAAAAAAUGCAAAUUAG
RNAcentral lists this long non-coding RNA (3161 nucleotides) under Papio anubis (olive baboon). Its description in RNAcentral is "lncRNA (ENSPANG00000040188.1)". The record is from RNAcentral. Lineage: Eukaryota; Metazoa; Chordata; Mammalia; Primates; Cercopithecidae.